RNAcentral lists this long non-coding RNA (221 nucleotides) under Helianthus annuus (common sunflower). RNAcentral describes it as "hypothetical non coding rna". Lineage: Eukaryota; Viridiplantae; Streptophyta; Magnoliopsida; Asterales; Asteraceae. The record is from RNAcentral.
ACAAAGAAUCCGAUCUUUUCUUCAUUCAACGGCUCUCUGAAUUCUGCGUUUAUUAAUAUGCAACUGUUGUUCCUGAUGCUAAGGAUGAAGUGUGACUUAGAAAGUUGGGUCUGCACAUUUCUACUAUUCAUAGAUUGAUAUACUCUUUAAAUUUAAUUCGGUCUCCUAUAUAUGCGAAAUAUAAUUUUUCAGAUUAAGUGAGUAGUGAUUGUGUGAACCCA